Molecule: ribosomal RNA, 460 nt
Filed under: uncultured bacterium
Lineage: Bacteria
Description: partial 16S ribosomal RNA
Rfam family: Bacterial small subunit ribosomal RNA
Source: RNAcentral
CCUACGGGUGGCAGCAGUGAGGAAUAUUGGUCAAUGGGCGCGAGCCUGAACCAGCCAAGUAGCGUGAAGGAUGACUGCCCUAUGGGUUGUAAACUUCUUUUAUAAGGGAAUAAAGUGCGGCACGUGUGCCUUUUUGUAUGUACUUUAUGAAUAAGGAUCGGCUAACUCCGUGCCAGCAGCCGCGGUAAUACGGAGGAUCCGAGCGUUAUCCGGAUUUAUUGGGUUUAAAGGGAGCGUAGAUGGGAUGUUAAGUCAGUUGUGAAAGUGUGCGGCUCAACCGUAACAUUGCAGUUGAUACUGGCUGUCUUGAGUGCAGGUGAGGUAGGCGGAAUUCGUGGUGUAGCGGUGAAAUGCUUAGAUAUCACGAAGAACUCCGAUUGCGAAGGCAGCUUACGAAACUGCCACUGACGUUGAUGCUCGAAAGUGUGGGUAUCAAACAGGAUUAGAUACCCCAGUAGUC